This 255-nucleotide long non-coding RNA is filed under the name Homo sapiens (human). RNAcentral's name for it is "HSALNT0323871". The record is from RNAcentral. Lineage: Eukaryota; Metazoa; Chordata; Mammalia; Primates; Hominidae.
CUCUUUCUCCUGUUUGGCCGUGUACCAAGUUCCUGCCUGUCUUCUGUCUUCACCCGUGACUUGCCUCAAGUAGUUGGCUCCUUUCCCACCGGCUACUUUGUAACUGCGAAUAUGACAACAUGACGGUGAUUCACAGAUGCCAAAAUAUGACGAGCAGAGCAAAUCUGUGUUCCAGAUAUGAUAAGGUGAGAAAAGCGGAACUCUCGGCCCCAGGUGAUUUCCAUGAAGACACCUACAUACGGCGGGCCUCACUAU